GCGAUCAUACCAGCACUAAUGCACCGGAUCCCAUCAGAACUCCGAAGUUAAUCGUGCUUGGGCGAGAGCAGUACUAGGAUGGGUGACCCCCUGGGAAGUCCUCGUGUUGCACCU
RNAcentral lists this ribosomal RNA (114 nucleotides) under Zingiber officinale. Lineage: Eukaryota; Viridiplantae; Streptophyta; Magnoliopsida; Zingiberales; Zingiberaceae. The record is from RNAcentral.